RNAcentral lists this ribosomal RNA (750 nucleotides) under uncultured bacterium. Its description in RNAcentral is "bacterial SSU rRNA". It matches the Rfam family "Bacterial small subunit ribosomal RNA", at positions 33 to 773 of the family's 1533-position model. The record is from RNAcentral.
ACGCUGGCGGCAGGCCCACACAUGCAAGUCGAGCGGUAGCACAGGAGAGCUUGCUCUCUGGGUGACGAGCGGCGGACGGGUGAGUAAUGUCUGGGAAACUGCCUGAUGGAGGGGGAUAACUACUGGAAACGGUAGCUAAUACCGCAUGACCUCGCAAGAGCAAAGUGGGGGACCUUCGGGCCUCACGCCAUCGGAUGUGCCCAGAUGGGAUUAGCUAGUAGGUGGGGUAAUGGCUCACCUAGGCGACGAUCCCUAGCUGGUCUGAGAGGAUGACCAGCCACACUGGAACUGAGACACGGUCCAGACUCCUACGGGAGGCAGCAGUGGGGAAUAUUGCACAAUGGGCGCAAGCCUGAUGCAGCCAUGCCGCGUGUGUGAAGAAGGCCUUAGGGUUGUAAAGCACUUUCAGCGAGGAGGAAGGCGCUGCAGUUAAUAGCUGCAGCGAUUGACGUUACUCGCAGAAGAAGCACCGGCUAACUCCGUGCCAGCAGCCGCGGUAAUACGGAGGGUGCAAGCGUUAAUCGGAAUUACUGGGCGUAAAGCGCACGCAGGCGGUUUGUUAAGUCAGAUGUGAAAUCCCCGAGCUUAACUUGGGAACUGCAUUUGAAACUGGCAAGCUAGAGUCUUGUAGAGGGGGGUAGAAUUCCAGGUGUAGCGGUGAAAUGCGUAGAGAUCUGGAGGAAUACCGGUGGCGAAGGCGGCCCCCUGGACAAAGACUGACGCUCAGGUGCGAAAGCGUGGGGAGCAAAC